RNAcentral lists this ribosomal RNA (326 nucleotides) under uncultured eukaryote. Its description in RNAcentral is "partial 18S ribosomal RNA". It matches the Rfam family "Eukaryotic small subunit ribosomal RNA", at positions 1470 to 1796 of the family's 1831-position model. The record is from RNAcentral.
CCCUUAGAUGUUCUGGGCCGCGCGCGCGCUACACUGAAUGAAUCAGCGUGCUAGAAAACCUUGUUUGACAUGGCUAGGUAACCCAUUGAAAAUCAUUCGUGAUUGGGAUCGGGACUUGCAAAUGUGUCCCUUGAACGAGGAAUUCCUAGUAGACGUAGUUCAUCAGACUGCAUCGAUUACGUCCCUGCCCUUUGUACACACCGCCCGUCGCUCCUACCGAUUGAAUGCUCAGGUGAGCCAUUCGGACUUUCAUCAUGCUGGUUUCCAGUUUUGAUGAAGGAAAGUCUUGCGAACCUUAUCAUUUAGAGGAAGGAGAAGUCGUAACA